This 497-nucleotide ribosomal RNA is filed under the name uncultured bacterium. RNAcentral's name for it is "partial 16S ribosomal RNA". It matches the Rfam family "Bacterial small subunit ribosomal RNA", at positions 28 to 507 of the family's 1533-position model. The record is from RNAcentral.
GAUGAACGCUGGCGGCGUGCCUAAUACAUGCGAGUCGAGCGAACGGACGAGAAGCUUGCUUCUCUGAUGUUAGCGGCGGACGGGUGAGUAACACGUGGAUAACCUACCUAUAAGACUGGGAUAACUUCGGGAAACCGGAGCUAAUACCGGAUAAUAUUUUGAACCGCAUGGUUCAAAAGUGAAAGACGGUCUUGCUGUCACUUAUAGAUGGAUCCGCGCUGCAUUAGCUAGUUGGUAAGGUAACGGCUUACCAAGGCAACGAUGCAUAGCCGACCUGAGAGGGUGAUCGGCCACACUGGAACUGAGACACGGUCCAGACUCCUACGGGAGGCAGCAGUAGGGAAUCUUCCGCAAUGGGCGAAAGCCUGACGGAGCAACGCCGCGUGAGUGAUGAAGGUCUUCGGAUCGUAAAACUCCGUUAUUAGGGAAGAACAUAUGUGUAAGUAACUGUGCACAUCUUGACGGUACCUAAUCAGAAAGCCACGGCUAACUACGUG